AGAUGCCAAGAAGACACACCACAGUGAUGGUCCCUAUGAUUCUGAUGUCGUUGGACUCAUCUACCAUCAGUGUAUCACUCUCCUGAAAGUGGUUAGAAAUGUUAUGAGAACCAGUCUUUCUCUGCCCAGCUGAUGGGAUCAAGUAGCAAGCGCUACUUUCUCCAUUGGCCACUCUCUCCACAGAGCCGGUGCUCACAGCAAUGUUCUGGAGGAUCACACAGAAAACAAAUACAUCUCUGGGCCAGGCAGAGGAAGACAUGAUAGAAAAGAAUUCCAAAGAUCCUAUUUUACAGUCACUGGAGUAGAGAGCAAUAUUCUGCUUACACCAGGCAUCAGCAGAAUGGCUUAGUCUUCAUCUCUCCUGGGGCUGAAGAUGAUGAGCUCAUCAAAUCUCCAUAACAAGUGUGGAGAAUAGCCAAGAGGAAGAAAGGGUGCAGAGCAGAGAACAAACUGCAGCUAGCAAAGGAAAUAUGCCUUUUAAAGUUGCAAGAAAGUGUUUCAUCUUCAGGCAUGAAGGAGCAAAGACAAAUCCUCUGUCACUGAGGAUCUCCCAUGACCAGUUCAUCAGUAACAGUCCAGAUCAUACACUGUGCACAACUGCUGGAGCACAAGGAGGAGAACCAGCUGUGGAGAGUGCUGGAGUGUACAGAGCUCUGGACCCCAUCCCUCCUUGAGGGCUGGGUAAAAAUGGGCACAGUAAACAGGAGAUGUGCCCCUGCUCCUCGGGGGCUGACCCUGACGUGUGUCCUAGAGAAGCAGGAUGCUCAAGCAACUCCACCCCAUUGCUGCCAGGAGAGCUCUGCAUGUUUCCAGAAAGGAGAAACUUCCUGUAUUUGUCUUUUUAAGGUGAUUUUACCUAUAGAUUUUAGUUGGGGGUGAGGAUAAUUUGCUUUAUUUCACAUUUUCCAUCAGAUAUUGCAAUCACAUCUUUCUUUUGUAUCUCUAGACAGUGGGAGAAUUGGAAGGCUGGGACAUCAAAAGUGCCAAAGGACAAAGACAUUUUUAUUGUAAGGUUAGAACUGGAGGCUUUCUGGCUCUUGCUAACACCUAUUUAACGAAUGUGCCUCAGGGAAGACUCUUUUUAUUAACAAUUCAACCUCUUUUUCCCCAGGGAAUUGCCAGUAUUCAUUUAUUUCUUGGCAGAGUAAUUAGGCCACUCAGAGCUCUGUGCUGCCAUGGCUACACUGCUUCAGGUGCCUGCACUGCUCAGCCAGGUUAAAGGGAGUUCCAAUGUCUGUGCUCUGUACUGCAGCCAUGGCUGAGAGGAGCCAUACUCUGAGUCAGCCUACAGGUGAAAACAGCAGAAAAAGUAAAAAUAACUUUAGGUAUUCCUGAGCAGACAGAAAUGGACAGAACUUUUAUCUUGUUUGAUGUCUCCUUUCUCACUUCAAAAUUUGUGGGUUUUUUGACUGUUAUCCUAAAGAACAAAAAUUUUAGAACAAAGAGCAAAAGGGCAAAACACAAGUAUGUCUUUUUUUUUUCCAAUAAAGCUCAGUAUAGUAGAUAUUAAAUGUUUCCUGUUAAUCUUUACAAAUUUACCAGAGCAUAACAACCAAUGUCCUGUUUAUUCUGUAGACCUUUGUAUGAGAUCUUUCCUUGUUUUGAAUUAUAUUCUGCUCUUUGAGUCAUGCUGUUUCAAUUCCUGUUAAGCUGGAAGAAAGAUCCAGAUACAGCCUAUAGGAAUUAGAAAUAAUGUCAACAACCAUUAUUUUCUGAAAAUACAUCAUAGGUAAAGCCCACCUGCUAUAUGAAUUUUCAUUUGGCAUACUUCCAAUUUUUCUAAUUAAUUUGACCUUCUGCAGGAAAAAAAAAAUUACAGAAAGUUCAAUACCACAAAUUUAUGUUAGAAGUCAGUUGAUUUGAACAAAAGCCAGUCAAGGAAAAAAAAUACUUUCCAGAAGUUCUAGAGUAAUGGGUUAUAAAAAUUAAAAAGUCUUAUACAGGAAAA
Long non-coding RNA from Melozone crissalis (California towhee), 1948 nucleotides. RefSeq lists it as uncharacterized. NCBI's taxonomy places the organism in Eukaryota, Metazoa, Chordata, Aves, Passeriformes, Passerellidae. The transcript has 7 exons. The record is from RefSeq and is a predicted model, not a curated record.